AGGUGAGUUCUCUUUUGAAUGUGUUGAGUUUGCCUUACCAGUUGGACAUCCAGAUAGCAUCUACAGGACUAGAGUAAAGAAGAAAGACUGUAAACAACUUCUCAGACUUUCCCACCAAUGUAUCCCCAAGGCCCUUGAGAAGAUUUUAUUCACAGAGAGUUUGUUUCUACAUGAUUCCGGACAAUUGUGUAUAUGCUUUGCUCAGUUAGAUCUAUGUGGAAAACUGUACCUCAAUUAAUGUGGAAGCCUUGUACACCAUUUUGGACUAGAUGCAGGCUAUUGUUAUGUAAUUUAUUUGGCACUGUGUGGCUCAUCAAAAUCCCAAAAGAAUUAUUUGAUGUAAAAGAUGGAAUAGACUCAAAUACAUGGCAUGAUGAACAGGCCAAAAGAAUUCCCUUGCCCAUGCAUAUUAUGAAGUUCUGAAAUUGAAAUGACUAAAUUCCUCUGCAAAAAAUAAGGCAUUAAUAACACAGAACGCUUCGUGGGGGGAAAGUGUUUUAGGAUGAUUAAGGUAUAAAAAACUCUCGAUAAAGAAGAGCUUAUUUUGGAAGUGCAACUGAAUUAGAAGAAAAAAGGGAAUGGCAAGUAGUGUUUCUUAAUUUUUGACUAUUUGGAGAAAAUGGAAAAUCCAAUAAAGAAUGCUUUGAGUCAGUGGCAGCUAAAAAAUUUUCUGUUUAAUUCUAAAAUGAGAGAACCUGGAUAGAGAUUGGACUGCUACAUAAAAUAUAAGAUGCCAAGUUAAAUUUGAACUUCAGGUAAACAGUAAAUAAUGUUUGAGUGUAAGUGAAUAAGUAUAACUAAG
Long non-coding RNA from Mustela erminea (ermine), 802 nucleotides. RefSeq lists it as uncharacterized. The transcript has 4 exons. Lineage: Eukaryota; Metazoa; Chordata; Mammalia; Carnivora; Mustelidae. The record is from RefSeq and is a predicted model, not a curated record.